UAGGGAAUAUUAGAAAUGGACGCAAGUCUGAUCUAGCAACACCGCGUGUGCGAAGAAGGCCUUCGGGCCGUAAAGCACUUUUUGGAAGGAAUAGGAAGGAAUGUACUUCCAGAAUAAGUCUCGGCUAACUACGUGCCAGCAGCCGCGGUAACACGUAGGAGGCGAACGUUAUCCGGAUUUACUGGGCGUAAAGCGCGUGUAGGUGGUUUGGUAAGUAGGGCGUGAAAGCUCCUGGCUCAACUGGGAGAGGCCGUUCUAAACUGCCGAACUAGAGGAUGGUAGAGGGAGGUGGAAUUCCGGGUGUAGCGGUGGAAUGCGCAGAUAUCCGGAGGAACACCAGUGGCGAAAGCGGCCUCCUGGACCAUUCCUGACACUCAGACGCGAAAGCUAGGGUAGCAAACGG
This 403-nucleotide ribosomal RNA is filed under the name uncultured bacterium. RNAcentral describes it as "bacterial SSU rRNA". It matches the Rfam family "Bacterial small subunit ribosomal RNA", at positions 355 to 775 of the family's 1533-position model. The record is from RNAcentral.